Molecule: long non-coding RNA, 1335 nt
Filed under: Homo sapiens (human)
Lineage: Eukaryota; Metazoa; Chordata; Mammalia; Primates; Hominidae
Description: HSALNT0070061
Source: RNAcentral
CAGAGCUGGCUGGGACGCAGGCUCCAUUUAGCUAAACGAUGAAACACAAACGUUUAUUGAGACUGUGCUUCGAAUCAACAGGGUUUUCCUCAGAUUGAGUUGCCGCCAAUUAUCCUCCAUGCAAUUAUGGUGAUCCCAGAAGCAAGCAGAUGGGGAAGAGUUUUGUUUUCAAAUGGAGGAGAAACCAAUAUGUAGGAAGAAAAGGCAGCUUGUUCAUUUGAACAGACUCCAGGUGGCUGGUCGCCAAAAGGCAAAGAGCUGGGGAGCCGGGUCUGGCCCUGGAUCAGUCCGACUGCCCACAGACCAGAGAAACCACCGAAACAACAGGGUUCUGCCUCCACUCAUCUCUUUUGCCAUCGGCCAGGUUGGCCGCGAGAGUGGAGGCCACGGGAGAGACAGACCACAGAGGCCCUCACAAGUCAGUCUCUUGACCUUGAUGCCACUGGAACAUUGAGUCCUGCUAUUUUGUUGUUGUUCAACAGCGACACGUCGGUGUAUUUUAUUAGAGAAGAAAAUUCAAGAAAAGGCAUGCAAAAGCCCAAACCAUAUGGCAAAUCUCCUUGGACAGACUUGAUUAUUUGGAGUUUCAUAAAACCUAAAAGCUAUUUCUUUUUUCUUAAGGAUUACAUUGUCCCGGACUUCUUGUUGGACCCUGACUCUUGAGGUUACCAUUCACAGGAGAACAGAGGAUGCUGUUGAAUGAUUACCAUAAUUAUUUCUGUCAGAGUUUAUAUUUAUAAUUACACAAUGCACCUAAGACUCCAUAAAAAAUAGUCACUAAUGUCAGUUCUAGGGGCAUCAAUGCUUACAGGGGAUUUGUUCCCCUUUUGACAAGAAGGGAACAUUAUCAGAUUGAAAUAAAUCCGAGGCACAUGGAGUGUGGAAAUGAUAUUUACAUUUACUCAGUAAAUUAAUUGAGGUAAGAAAGGUAUAAUUAAAUGAGGAAAAUUGUCAUGCAAAAAUCAGCCCAACUCAUAAGCUCAAUAAAGGUGUUUGAAUUUUGGUUCAUCACUCACAUAACAAAUAAUGAUCUGCAUUCUCGUUUCAAAAAGAGUAGCCAUUUCACCUAGAUAAAUAGGUGAUAAUAUGUUUAGAUACCUCAGUUUUAGUCUUUGUCCAGUCACAUAUAUUCACAUAAUCUUUGUUAGAUCACUCAUCCUCUCUGAGAGUUUGUCUCUUUCUCCAGAUUAAGGGAGCACUCUCAAGUUCUGUGAUAAAUUUCACUAAUGGAUCCUGAUGCCUGCAUUUUUGGGCAGAGGGAAAAAAUAGCCUGAUAAAUUUUGGGCUUCUUAAGGGACUGAUUGACUCUGUACGUAUCUAAAUGAGAUUGCUAGA